UACGGGGGGAGCAAGCGUUGUUCGGAUUUACUGGGCGUAAAGGGCGCGUAGGCGGCCACCGCAAGUCGACUGUGAAAUCUCCGGGCUUAACCCGGAAAGGUCAGCCGAUACUGCGGGGCUAGAGUGCAGAAGGGGCAACUGGAAUUCUCGGUGUAGCGGUGAAAUGCGUAGAUAUCGAGAGGAACACCUGCGGCGAAGGCGGGUUGCUGGGCUGACACUGACGCUGAGGCGCGAAAGCUAGGGGAGUGAACGGG
This 254-nucleotide ribosomal RNA is filed under the name uncultured bacterium. RNAcentral's name for it is "partial 16S ribosomal RNA". It matches the Rfam family "Bacterial small subunit ribosomal RNA", at positions 524 to 776 of the family's 1533-position model. The record is from RNAcentral.